Molecule: ribosomal RNA, 253 nt
Filed under: uncultured bacterium
Lineage: Bacteria
Description: partial 16S ribosomal RNA
Rfam family: Bacterial small subunit ribosomal RNA
Source: RNAcentral
UACGGAGGGGGCUAGCGUUGUUCGGAAUUACUGGGCGUAAAGCGCACGUAGGCGGCUUUGUAAGUUAGAGGUGAAAGCCCGGGGCUCAACUCCGGAAUUGCCUUUAAGACUGCAUCGCUAGAAUUGUGGAGAGGUGAGUGGAAUUCCGAGUGUAGAGGUGAAAUUCGUAGAUAUUCGGAAGAACACCAGUGGCGAAGGCGGCUCACUGGACCGGUAUUGACGCUGAGGUGCGAAAGCGUGGGGAGCAAACAGG